Molecule: long non-coding RNA, 4884 nt
Organism: Cercocebus atys (sooty mangabey)
Lineage: Eukaryota; Metazoa; Chordata; Mammalia; Primates; Cercopithecidae
Exons: 3
Source: RefSeq, a predicted model, not a curated record
GCUAGAGCUGCCUCACGACUGAACAGCUAAUUAGUACCUACACCAAGAUCGGAACCCAAGCCUAUUUACUGGAGAGUGCUCCCCUAAAAUCCAUGUGCUUCCCAGAACCUCAGAAUGUGACCUUAUUUGGAAAGAGGAUCAUCCCAAAUGUGAGUAAAAUGAGGUCAUCCUGGAGGAGGGAGGGCCCCUAAUCUGAUAUGCCUGGUGUCCCUAGAAGAGGAGAAGAGACAGACACACGAGAAUGUCGCCUAAUGAUGGAGGAGGCAGUGAUUGGAGUGAGGAGGAUGCUGGUAACACCAGGAGCUAAGAGAAAGGUGGAGCAGGCCCUGUCAACCACUAGAUUACAGGCUUGUAGCUUCUCCCACUGUGAAACACCACAUUUCUCUUACAAUCUGGCUGGCUUAAAAGUAACCAAAACGUAUUGUUUCAGAGUUUUCCAGGCUGGAAGUCUGGAAUCAAGUUACCGUCUCCGUUGUUUCCUACUUGGUUAAAGCUCAGGCAGCCGGCCAUCUGAAGCCAUGCACCCUGCAAGGUGCUUUGGAAAACAAAGAAUUCGCUGAGUGCUCAGGGUCCCACGCUCCAGAACCAGCCUCUGUAGACUGUGUAUUUUCCAGUUUUCUUCACUUGCCCCGAAGGCCAUUCUGUCCACUUCCACCUUUUAAAAAUAGUAGCAGCUCUCUUAUUUAUCUUCUUCUUUUGUUGUUUGAUCAGCUGUACUCUUUAUGGGAUGUGCUUUUAAAAGAGUGAGAACCGCUGUAAACUCCAGAAUCCUGGUUUUCAUCACCACUGCCACCAUCCUCCUCCUCCUCCUCAUCACCAUCACCAUCAUUAGCUGGCUGGAAUAGGUCCAGUUGAAUUGAGACGUGCCCCCGCCACAGUCUCAGACUCACAGCUUUGCACUAAAAACGGAACCACAGUCUCUGAUGAGACUCCCCAGAAGAUGGCAGUGUGGAUCACAAAACCACGCAUCCAGCCCCACGGUACCACGCAGCCCCAGCCCGUGGAUCCUGGUGUAACCAGAAGGCCCUGGGCCCGGGGCCGUGGUGAAUGAUCCUGCUGUCGUAGCCGGGGGCCACCCGCCGCCCUGAUGAGGCCGCUGGGAGAUGGAUCAUUCCCACGUUACAGAUAAGGAGCCAGAGCCUCAGAAUGGAGAAAUAUCCUGGCAGCAGUCACUGUGCUGGAAAAUGGUGUAGUGGAAGAUUUUGAACCCAAAUCUGAUAGACUCCAAAAUCCAUUCUCUUUCCACUAAACUAUGGGGCUAGUCAUGAAUAAUGCACUUCAGGAAAACUGCAAGUACCAUCUUGAAGGAGCCCUAAGUCCUGAAAGAACCACAAAUGAUUGUUUCCAGGUUAUCAAAUUUUAAUAACAUUGUUUUAUUACAACACAACAUCUAUCCUUUUAAAGACGAUGUUCCAAGAACUCAUUAUGCAAUUAUAAAAUAAUAAAUCUCUUCACAGAGUGAAGAACCAAAGGCAGUUCCUCUUUGUAGCAACACUCAGCAUCUCCUGAAAAAAGUUUUUUUAAAUCCUAAGCAUGCAAUAUUGCUUCUUCAGGCAAGAGUGGAUGCAGCACAAAAUAAGUAUAAGCGAGGAAUUGAAUAAAACGUGGCUCAGAAUAAAUCUGAUGCAUAUACGUGGCGCUCCUAACGAUAUCCUAGGGUGAGAAUAGUCUUAAAGGUUGGUGAUUUCUCCAGUGACUGAGAUGCCAAUGGCUUUUACGUACAACCAAGUUGAAUCUUCGGCAUUUUCUCUUUUGUGUUCUCGUAUCAUUAUUGACAGUUUUCCCUUGUUACGGGUUAUUUAAUUCUAAAUGCGCACACUUGGUUUUGGAAUUUAAUGCAUAGUCAUAAUUUUAAAAAUCAGGUCAUACAGAAAAGUACAAAAAAAAAAAAGCAAAUAAACCACCUCAAAUCCCACUUAGUCUUACCAGAAAUAGAAGAUUUGAUGCUAAUUUUCCACAGAUUCACCUUCGGGGCAUACUUCAGGGCAUACUGAAGCCACUCACAGAAAGGAGGAGAAGGUGGCUGUGAUGGAUCUGGACACGUAAUUCAAUUUCAUACAACAGCCACCCUGGGGUCUAUUUGUGGAUGAUCUUUUGAGUUAACAAAAGAUUUCCCAUCCCAUACACUUGAUUCAUAAGCACACAUGAAGAAAACUUCAAGUGCAUUUCCCCCUCAUUUUAAUUAGGGCUCAUGUAGAAUAUUUUUGCUCCAAUUAUAACCAGAACUACAAGUACCUCCCCUCCUCAGCCAAAGAAGCAGUUACGAGUCCUCUGUGGUGCGCUCCGGUUCCGACCUGGGUAUCGCCGCAUUUCUUCCCAGAAGAGCAGCCUCUUGCAAAGAAUCAGGCCGCUCUGGGUAAGGUGUCAUGGCAACGGCUUAAACUGAAGAAAGACAGUGGAGACAGACCUUUUCAAACUUCGCAGACCUACACUUACGUUCCAUUCUGCUUUUAACCGUGGAGGACCCAAAUGUGACGUGAGAAAUUGCAAUAAUUUUAUUCUCUAGAAGCAUCGGUGAGCCCCCCUCCUGGAAACACGUUAGAAAAGUUUUUACCCUUUGCCCUUUGCAUAGAUAGGUCCAAAGACCUUCCCAGGUGUAAAUUUUUCAUCAUGUACCACAGCAGAGAACAACAAAACCGUUGCACUCCGGCUGCUGAGCAAGUGGCUCAGCCCACUCAGGAGCCCAGGGACUCCCUCCUGCAGACCAGGCUUAGAAAACUGAGAGUUAUCUAUCGCUGUGCAUAACAACAUUCUCAGAAACUAGUGCCAGAACCACCGUUUUCUUUAUCUCACAUUUUAUGGGUCAGAAACUUGGGCAGGGCUCAGCUGGGCAAUUUUUCUGUCCCAUGUGGUGUUGAGUGAGAUGUCCAACUGGCAGCUGGGCAAGUCGAGGGAAUCCACGACAGCUCCGUUCGUUGGUAUGGUUGCAGAGACAACUAGAAGGCUGGACCUGGCUGGGGCCAUGGCCCAGAGAGCCUGCAUGUAAUCUCUUCAACUUGGCCAAUGUAGCAUCAUCGGAGUUCUUCCAUGGUGGCUCAAAGCUACCACAGUAAGGGUGUUCCAAGAUGCUCAGGUAGCAGCAGCAAGGCUUCUUGUUAAGUUAGUUUCAGAAGUCCCAGAAUGUUACUUCUACAAAUUCUGCUGGCUAAGCAGGUCACUAAGUCCAGCCCAGAUUCAGAGGGUCAUGAAUAGACAGCACCGUGAAAUGGGAAAAAGAGCAAAGAAUGUGGCCAUCCUUCAUGUACAUCACCUGUGCCAGGGUCUGCUGCUAGGGGAACCCAACCUAAGACACUUGCCUACAAGAUUCUUCAGGAUCUGGCUCCUGCCCUGUGUCUAGGGUCAUCUCAUGCCCUCACAUUCGCCUCUGGUGCCUGACAUGCCAGAUUCUCUUCUGUUUUUCUAACACUGCAUGUUCUAUCUUGCUCCUAUGCCUUUAUUUAAUUUACUUAUUAUAUACAAAGUAAAAAAAAAAAAUACACAGUAUAUGUUGAUGCUCUCCUCUGCCUAGAAUGUCCUCCUACUCCAUCCUUGUUUACCUGCAGCUGAGCUCAUCCCUAGAGUCCUUGACUGGGCUUCACCUUCUUCUUUCCAGUGAAGUCAUGCACUUCCACCCUGCUCCUGCCUCUGCAGCAUGGAACACAUCGAUUUCCUUGUCAGUAAGUUCCUCCAGAGAAGGAAUUCUUCUUUCCCCUACUUCGGUAUCCUCAUGUCUGAUGAUGGAUGAAUGAAUUAUGUGUGGCCCUAAGAACUCCAAGGCAAAAAUAUAAACAGUUCAGCAAAUUGCUAAAUUUUUACAUUGAUGUUCUCCUGCCAUUUUUAAGGGAUUUUCUUAACGUCAACCAGCUUAAUGUAGGAGCCGGUCACCAAGCUGUCAUGAGGCUGAGGGGGGUCAGGUGGGGAGAUAAUCUAAUACAAUUAUUAUUAUUAUUAUUAUUUUUGAGAUGGAGUCUCGCUCUGUGUUGUCUCACCCUGUGGUGUAGUAGAUUGAGAGCAAUAUUUGAGUUGAAGAGAGCUGGGCUCAAGUCCUUACUCGGUUCAUUAUUGUGUGACCAACCUAGAGCAGGAGGUUCUGGGGGAGAUACCACCAACAAUGGGGGCUCCACUCCCCAGGGCAUAGGGCGGAGGUAGAGUUGGUGGCUAACCUUCUGUUCUGAGGGCAAAGGGAGCUCCGGAUCCUUGGUCCUGGAGGAACUGCAGAGGAAAGAAACAUGGCCCUGGACCUCCAGGGAACACACAGUGAGCUCAGCCCCACCCCGGAACCACACCUGUGGACGCUGGAUGCUGAACCAAUGGAUAAAGUGAAGGGAAUUAUGUGUGGGCCCCAAGCCAAAGCAGGACAGGUGGCUCAACCAGAGGACCUGCGCCAACAUUCCAUUCUGCAUCAGUGCCCAAACAAAGAUGCCUCUCACCAGGGCUCCAGCUUCUCUGUGAGUUAAACAUUAACUGGGGCUCGAGCCCCUGUAUCCAGGAAUGCAGUAAACACGAAGUUCUCAGCCAGGGUCUGAUACCCUCCUGAGGGCAUCUGAAACGUGUGAAGGUGUUUCUGGCUGACCCGUUGGUCCUCAGGAAAGAGCAUUCGCCAGCAACAGCACAUGCUCUGCAGCUCAUGGCAGAGACCCGCACAAUGAAGACACGUCCUGACCAAAUGCCAGCAGCUCCCCCUCGAGAAGGGCUGCUAGGGAGCCACGCUGGUGUCCUGGGCUGCUGGAAUGCAGAGGGGAGGGGCAGCCUCAGUAUCUUGAAUUCCAGUGAGCCUCACUUUCCUCAUUUAAUCUCAAGGAUGCUUGCAAGAAUCAAGAGAUAAUUACAUUUGAGUCUUUUGUCGACUGCAAAUGUUAUAAAUACAUCAAUCAUUGCAAUGUGUCCUCCAGUGGCUCCUAAAUG